UACAUUAUUAUUGUGACAUAGGUUACUAGUGUAAGAGUCGAAUUAAAAAAAUGUCAGCACAUGCAUUAACUUUUAGCUCAUUUGGGUACCACACAAUGUCACCAAGACUGUGGGGCAGCUGCUACCAGCACAGGAGCUAACAAGAGCUUACCUGACAGAGAGCCAGGUACAGCGACGGACUGACUGUCAAACACAUUAGCAUAUUUAAUAAGGCAGAGGUUUGCUAUUUUCCUCUGGAAACAGGCAGAAAAACAAAAGUAGCUCAAAUUCCAGUGUAAGUGUUAAUUAAAUUUAAGAGGUACGGGAAGAUGGAUCCAACGAGAUGUCCACAUUUCUCUAUUUCUGUUAAAGCCAAGUGGUCAAGACCCGCUAACCGCAGCUCAAGGGGAUGCCGGUGAGGGUGGAGUACAUGGAGCAGUUGGCCGUGGACAAGGGCCGGAUGAGGGACGGGAACUGUGAACGGGUCUCCUGGUGCCC
Seriola aureovittata is the source of this 477-nucleotide long non-coding RNA. RefSeq lists it as uncharacterized. The transcript is spliced from 3 exons. NCBI's taxonomy places the organism in Eukaryota, Metazoa, Chordata, Actinopteri, Carangiformes, Carangidae. The record is from RefSeq and is a predicted model, not a curated record.